UGAGAAACCCGAAAGAUCGAACGGGGAGAUUCAGCGUCAGCGAGGCUGGCUUUCGUGCGGGCGCGAUGCUCGGCGUCCCUCUCACGGGGGCUCGUCGUGGCACGCGUUCGUUCGGAUGCGUCCGGUCGCGUCGGCGUGCACUUCUCCCCUAGUAGAACGUCGCGACCCGCUGGGUGUCGGUUUACGGACCGCGUCGCAGACCGUCGCGCGCGCUUCGGCGUGCGUUGGCGGAGGCGCGGUUUCCCGACCGACCGCUCGGCGGUACACGCACGGUAUCGAGCCGCACAUGUCGAACUGCGUCCCGGCCCGUGGCAAGCUCGCUCGCGUUUCCUUCGGAGGUGCGGACCUAGUGCCGUCCCCGAGGCCGAGUAGUUGUUGGCAUACGGUGUCCUCGGACAGGCUCAUCCACAAAAUGAAUUUCGAUUCGUGGUACCGGUCGGCGACGCUAUUGCUUUGGGUACUUUCAGGACCCGUCUUGAAACACGGACCAAGGAGUCUAACAUGUGCGCGAGUCAUUGGGAUUAUUUUGAAACCCAAAGGCGCAUUGAAAGAGAAGGUCGGCCUUGCGCCGACCGAGGGAGGAUGGGCCGCGUCACGAUGCGGCCCCGCACUCCCGGGGCGUCUCGUACUCAUUGCGAGUUGAGGCGCACCAAGAGCGUACACGUUGGGACCCGAAAGAUGGUGAACUAUGCCUGGUCAGGACGAAGUCAGGGGAAACCCUGAUGGAGGUCCGAAGCGCUUCUGACGUGCAAAUCGAUCGUC
Molecule: ribosomal RNA, 762 nt
Filed under: Hymenoptera sp. NZAC 03012254
Lineage: Eukaryota; Metazoa; Arthropoda; Insecta; Hymenoptera
Description: eukaryotic LSU rRNA
Rfam family: Eukaryotic large subunit ribosomal RNA (bases 327-762)
Source: RNAcentral